Molecule: ribosomal RNA, 972 nt
Filed under: Listeria monocytogenes
Lineage: Bacteria; Bacillati; Bacillota; Bacilli; Caryophanales; Listeriaceae
Description: partial 23S ribosomal RNA
Rfam family: Bacterial large subunit ribosomal RNA
Source: RNAcentral
GGAGGACCAUCUCCCAAGGCUAAAUACUCCCUAGUGACCGAUAGUGAACCAGUACCGUGAGGGAAAGGUGAAAAGCACCCCGGAAGGGGAGUGAAACAGUUCCUGAAACCGUGUGCCUACAAGUAGUUAGAGCCCGUUAAUGGGUGAUAGCGUGCCUUUUGUAGAAUGAACCGGCGAGUUACGAUUUGUUGCAAGGUUAAGCGGAAAAAGCGGAGCCGUAGCGAAAGCGAGUCUGAAUAGGGCGCAUAAGUAACAGGUCGUAGACCCGAAACCAGGUGAUCUACCCAUGUCCAGGAUGAAGGUAAGGUAAUACUUACUGGAGGUCCGAACCCACGCACGUUGAAAAGUGCGGGGAUGAGGUGUGGGUAGCGGAGAAAUUCCAAUCGAACUUGGAGAUAGCUGGUUCUCUCCGAAAUAGCUUUAGGGCUAGCCUCGAGGUAAAGAGUCAUGGAGGUAGAGCACUGUUUGGACUAGGGGCCCUUCUCGGGUUACCGAAUUCAGAUAAACUCCGAAUGCCAUGUACUUAUACUCGGGAGUCAGACUGCGAGUGAUAAGAUCCGUAGUCGAAAGGGAAACAGCCCAGACCACCAGUUAAGGUCCCCAAAUAUAUGUUAAGUGGAAAAGGAUGUGGGGUUGCUUAGACAACCAGGAUGUUGGCUUAGAAGCAGCCACCAUUGAAAGAGUGCGUAAUAGCUCACUGGUCGAGUGACCCCGCGCCGAAAAUGUACCGGGGCUAAACAUAUUACCGAAACUGUGGAUGAACCUCUUUAGAGGUUCGUGGUAGGAGAGCGUUCUAAGGGCGGUGAAGUCAGACCGGAAGGACUGGUGGAGCGCUUAGAAGUGAGAAUGCCGGUAUGAGUAGCGAAAGAAGGGUGAGAAUCCCUUCCACCGAAUAUCUAAGGUUUCCUGAGGAAGGCUCGUCCGCUCAGGGUUAGUCGGGACCUAAGCCGAGGCCGAUAGGCGUAGGCGAUG